This 264-nucleotide long non-coding RNA is filed under the name Carica papaya (papaya). RNAcentral describes it as "long non-coding RNA (CPAP_LNC013984)". Lineage: Eukaryota; Viridiplantae; Streptophyta; Magnoliopsida; Brassicales; Caricaceae. The record is from RNAcentral.
GAAGCGUAAUAAAAAUUUUGAUUAACAUCCCUUACACAAUAACCAAAACGUACUCAAAACAUGAAAGAACAAACUAAUUAAAAGAGAUACUCGAAAUAAAAACUAUAAAUAUAACUAUGGAGUCUUUAGGCGUCCCCUUCGCCGUCUUCUUGCAGAACGGGCUCGGGAACAACGUCUUCCUGAUCUGAAAUGGUUAAAUAAGGAAUGAGCUACACCAGCCCAGUAAAGACAUCAUACUAUCUCACCGCCACGGAAAUAAAGGUG